RNAcentral lists this long non-coding RNA (444 nucleotides) under Sus scrofa (pig). Its description in RNAcentral is "lncRNA (ENSSSCG00055012952.1)". Lineage: Eukaryota; Metazoa; Chordata; Mammalia; Artiodactyla; Suidae. The record is from RNAcentral.
AUUCAAAAUGAUUGCGAAAGAGGAGUUCCCGUCGUGGCUCAGUGGUUAACAAAUCCGACAAGGAACCAUGAGGUUGCGGGAUCGAUCCUGGCCCCGUUUAGCCGGUUAAGGAUCCGGCGCUCGAGGCCAACCCAGUUUUUCAGGUGACAAAGGUGAGCAGAAGAAAUUACUGCCCUACCUGGAGCUCCGAUAAGGGUUCAGAAUCCUCAGGAAUGAAGGUUGGAGUCAGCCCCCUGGACCAAGAACUUUCACCAAGAAGGAAGCCUCAGCCCAUGACCUGCAUCCAUAUGGCUGUAGCCUCCAUCUGAAGCCACAUGGAAUAUUUACGCUUCCCCACCAAAAAAAAGAAGUGUUGAGUAGUUCUUGCUAUGGUAUAGUGGGUUAAGAACCCGACUGCACAACUCUAAAGAAAAAAAUAAAAAUCUAUACAAUAUAGAAAGGACA